This 428-nucleotide ribosomal RNA is filed under the name uncultured bacterium. RNAcentral describes it as "bacterial SSU rRNA". It matches the Rfam family "Bacterial small subunit ribosomal RNA", at positions 354 to 796 of the family's 1533-position model. The record is from RNAcentral.
GUGGGGAAUAUUGCACAAUGGAGGAAACUCUGAUGCAGCGACGCCGCGUGAGUGAUGAAGGCCUUCGGGUCGUAAAGCUCUGUCGCAGGGGAAUAACACAAUGAAGGUACCCUGUAAGAAAGGAUCGGCUAACUUCGUGCCAGCAGCCGCGGUAAGACGAGGGAUCCUAGCGUUGUUCGGAAUCAUUGGGCGUAAAGCGGAUGUAGGUGGCUAUGUAAGUCAGAUGUGAAAGCCUGGGGCUCAACCCCAGAAGUGCAUUUGAUACUGCGUAGCUUGAGUGUCGGAGAGGUUACUAGAAUUGUUGGUGUAGUGGUGAAAUACGUAGAUAUCAACAGGAAUACCGGAGGCGAAGGCGGGUAACUGGCCGAACACUGACACUGAGAUCCGAAAGCGUGGGGAUCAAACAGGAUUAGAAACCCGAGUAGUCC